UGGCAUACGUGAUCGUGAACUAAAACGCGAAUAUCGACAACGAAUACGAAUACGAAUACGAAUACGAAUACGAAUAAGACACCGCCGCCGAUGCCAUGCCAUUAUCAAAUUCAAGGAAUUUUCCGUCAGUUGAAAAAGAAAAGAAAAGGAAUUUCAAUGUUUUAAGAAACAGGCCGAUACGUAGGAAGCCAUAUUCAAAUUAGAAUAUCAAUUCCAAUCAUUGCUCGAGUAAUUCAGUAAAAAAAUGAAAUCUGAUAA
This is a long non-coding RNA of Planococcus citri (citrus mealybug), 258 nucleotides long. RefSeq lists it as uncharacterized. NCBI's taxonomy places the organism in Eukaryota, Metazoa, Arthropoda, Insecta, Hemiptera, Pseudococcidae. The record is from RefSeq and is a predicted model, not a curated record. The transcript has 2 exons.